UUCUGGUAGCCUCUUCCUCUCCCCGUGCCUCCUCUUCCUCUCCCCCCUCUUCCUCUCCCUGUCCCUCCCAAAGUGGCAGCGCUUCUCCCUCCCUCUAUCUCUCUCGAACUAGCAGCGCUGCAGCGCAUCGGCGGCCUCCUCCCCCUCUGCCUCCUUCCUCCCUCUCUCUGCCUCUCUCUCCCCAUGUGCCGGCGCAGCUAGGCGGAUUGGAUGAGGCAGCGACGCACCAGGUGGCUAGCGGCGUGGGUGGGUCGGCAGCACACGGAUCCAGGGCCUCCAUCACCGGAUCCAGGGCCUCCCCAUGCCCGCUCCAUACCGCCUCCCCGCGCCAGCCACGGCGGAUCCAACCCCGGCUGUGGUGGUUUGGGCCCCAGCCAUGGUGGAUCCUACGGAUUUGGCCCCAGCCAUGGCGCCUACGACGACUUGCUGCCCGUGCCUCUAGGUACUCCGCCUCGACUUCGACCGCAUGGCUCCACCUUUGUCUCUUCCACUCUGCCAUAGAUUAUUUAUCCCAUAGGAUGCUGCUUGCGUCGAUUCGAUUCCCAUGGGCUGUUCCUCGUGAUGCUCUGCUGAGAUUUGUGCAGGAAGGAGGAUGUGCAGGAUGCUUCUUUUUUUUUCAGAUCCACUCGUCCAUGUGGUUAUGCAAUCUUCGUAUACCCCUCACCUCCCUGCUGUUCGCUUUCUGAUUUUUAUUCAUUCUUCAUGUUGUAGAAGUAGAACUAAUGGUGGAACACAAGACAUAUAGCACUGCAGCACUGGAUACAAGUAAACCUAGUAUGAUGCUGUGGUCCACUACUGUAUUGUCUAAAACAUAGGAUUGUGCCCAGGAAAAAAAUCAUGAUGUAGUUUAACUAGGAUGUUCUUUUUAGCAGAGACAUUUAUGUGUCCAUGAGGGAAAAUUCUACUGCAAGGAUGCAGGACAGUCCCGUCAAUAUGUUCUCAUCAUGAGUAAAUGGCGGCAUUUAUGGUUAAUUUCGUUGAAGAUUUUUAAAUAACUAGAUUACUCUAAUGCCUCAUUAGGUCAUUAAUUGGGUGUUGAGGCAUGGAAGGGGCUCUAUCAGAGCAUCAGGUCAACACAGAACGGCAAUGGACCAGCUAUGUCACUUAUAAAUAUGGUGAAGGAGAAAACAUACUAAACUCUGGUCACUGGUACAACUGAAAUUUUGCUCAAUAUCAUGCUAGAUAGAUAAAAUAAACUGCCCUGCUGUGUAGUGGAUUAUCAAUCUAAUAUAUGAUAGUUGUGUCAAAAAAAGAUGAUAGUUGCAUUUUAUCUUCAUGAUGGUUAAUUGGUUAUUUGUGGCAGGGGAGACAAGUCUAUUGAGUUAGGCAAUGAGGAUGAGGGCUGCUAUAUCACGUCCUAUUGAUAAUUGCAGAUGGGCAAGUACCAUGUUAAAUCAUUAUACUAGAACUGACAAGAAGUAUGGUGGACUAAGUUUAUCAUAUGAAGACGUUGGGUCAAGUUCUUGCAGUCACAGGUUGUCAUCGAGUACCAUAGGAAAGUUUGUGCCUUUGUGCCUUCGGAGACUUGCCUGUCUACUGUUUUGUAUGGCCAAAGCUGGUUGCCUCAUGGAAUUAGUUGGGUCAUUUCUUAUGUACAAUUAUACUCGUGUAGUCAAUGUAUUUAAUCUUAAGAACAAUCCGUAUACUAUGUAGUAUCUGUUUAUGUACUGUUAGGAGUCUUCUAGGUAACAGCUCCUUGAGUAGAUGUUUUGUAGCAUAAGUUGUAUCUAAAGUUUGUAAAGAAUUUGAUUGCUUCAUAAGUUGUAUCUAAAGCUUCUAAUAAAGAAUUUGAUUACUGAAAUA
Long non-coding RNA from Sorghum bicolor (sorghum), 1803 nucleotides. RefSeq lists it as uncharacterized. Lineage: Eukaryota; Viridiplantae; Streptophyta; Magnoliopsida; Poales; Poaceae. The record is from RefSeq and is a predicted model, not a curated record. The transcript has 3 exons.